GGGCCCGCACAAGCGGUGGAGCAUGUGGUUUAAUUCGAUGAUACGCGAGGAACCUUACCAGGGCUUAAAUGCAGAACGACCGGGGUGGAAACACCCCUUUCUUCGGACGGUCUGCAAGGUGCUGCAUGGUUGUCGUCAGCUCGUGCUGUGAAGUGUCGGGUUAAGUCCCAUAACGAGCGCAACCCCUAUUUCUAGUUGCCAGCGGUUCGGCCGGGGACUCUAGAGAAACUGCCAGCGUAAGCUGUGAGGAAGGUGGGGAUGACGUCAAAUCAUCACGGCCCUUACGUCCUGGGCCACACACGUGCUACAAUGGUGGGGACAACGAGUCGCGAACCCGCGAGGGUAAGCUAAUCUUCAAAAAGCUGGUCUAAGUUCGGAUUGCAGUCUGCAACUCGACUGCAUGAAGUCGGAAUCGCUAGUAA
This 422-nucleotide ribosomal RNA is filed under the name uncultured bacterium. RNAcentral describes it as "bacterial SSU rRNA". It matches the Rfam family "Bacterial small subunit ribosomal RNA", at positions 917 to 1341 of the family's 1533-position model. The record is from RNAcentral.